RNAcentral lists this ribosomal RNA (478 nucleotides) under uncultured bacterium. RNAcentral describes it as "partial 16S ribosomal RNA". It matches the Rfam family "Bacterial small subunit ribosomal RNA", at positions 28 to 523 of the family's 1533-position model. The record is from RNAcentral.
GACGGACGCUGGCGGCGUGCUUAACACAUGCAAGUCGAACGGUAAGGCCCUUCGGGGUACACGAGUGGCGAACGGGUGAGUAACACGUGGGUGAUCUGCCCUGCACUUCGGGAUAAGCCUGGGAAACUGGGUCUAAUACCGGAUAGGACCACUGCCUGCAUGGGUGGUGGUGGAAAGCUUUUGCGGUGUGGGAUGGGCCCGCGGCCUAUCAGCUUGUUGGUGGGGUGAUGGCCUACCAAGGCGACGACGGGUAGCCGGCCUGAGAGGGUGACCGGCCACACUGGGACUGAGAUACGGCCCAGACUCCUACGGGAGGCAGCAGUGGGGAAUAUUGCACAAUGGGCGCAAGCCUGAUGCAGCGACGCCGCGUGAGGGACGACGGCCUUCGGGUUGUAAACCUCUUUCAGCACCGACGAAGCGCAAGUGACGGUAGGUGCAGAAGAAGGACCGGCCAACUACGUGCCAGCCGCCGCGGUAA